UACGGAAGGCAGCAGUGGGGAAUAUUGCACAAUGGGCGCAAGCCUGAUGCAGCCAUGCCGCGUGUAUGAAGAAAGGCCUUCGGGUUGUAAAGUACUUUUCAGCGGGGAGGAAGGCGGUGAAGUUAAUAGCUUCACCGAUUGACGUUACCCGCAGAAGAAGCACCGGCUAACUCCGUGCCAGCAGCCGCGGUAAUACGGAGGGUGCAAGCGUUAAUCGGAAUUACUGGGCGUAAAGCGCACGCAGGCGGUCUGUCAAGUCGGAUGUGAAAUCCCCGGGCUUAACCUGGGAACUGCAUUCGAAACUGGCAGGCUAGAGUCUUGUAGAGGGGGUAGAAUUCCAGGUGUAGCGGUGAAAUGCGUAGAGAUCUGGAGGAAUACCGGUGGCGAAGGCGGCCCCUGGACAAAGCUGACGCUCAGGGU
This 420-nucleotide ribosomal RNA is filed under the name uncultured bacterium. RNAcentral's name for it is "bacterial SSU rRNA". It matches the Rfam family "Bacterial small subunit ribosomal RNA", at positions 340 to 752 of the family's 1533-position model. The record is from RNAcentral.